RNAcentral lists this ribosomal RNA (519 nucleotides) under Nitrososphaerota archaeon. RNAcentral describes it as "Thaumarchaeota archaeon partial 23S ribosomal RNA". It matches the Rfam family "Archaeal large subunit ribosomal RNA", at positions 2476 to 2987 of the family's 2987-position model. The record is from RNAcentral. Lineage: Archaea; Thermoproteati; Nitrososphaerota.
UCGGGCCUAGCGAUCCAUGACGUCCCCACUAUUGGGGGCUCGUGGUGACAGAAAAAUUACCCCAGGGAUAACAGGCUCGUCGCGGGCGAGAGCUCCUAUCGACCCCGCGGUUUGGUACCUCGAUGUCGGCUUUUCCCAUCCUGGCCCUGCAGCAGGGGCCAAGGGUGAGGCUGCUCGCCUAUUAAAGGGGAACAUGAGCUGGGUUUAGACCGUCGUGAGACAGGUCGGACUCUGCCUGAUGGAAGCGUGGAUACUUGAGGGGAAGUUGCUCCGAGUACGAGAGGAACAGAGCAGCGUAGCCACUGGUUUAACAGUUGUCUGAUAAGGCAAGCCGUGCAGCUAAGCUAUUUGGGCUAACUCCUGAAAGCAUCUAAGGAGGAAACCCAUCCCGAGAAAAGGUAUCCGUCCGUUAAGGUAAAGGGUGGCGAAAGAAGAUCGCGUUGAUAGAACAGCAGUAUAAAUCCCAAGCUUCGGCGAGGGGUGAGCUGGCCGUCACUAACAACCCAAUACAUCAGUUCA